AUUGUGACGUCACACAAGCCAAGGACUUUGCUGCUUUUUCCAUUCCGUAUGCUGAACGCAGGGAAUUGACACACCGCCGGCCGGGGCUGUUCUCUCAGUUACAAGUUCAUCUUGCUCCGCUGUCUAACAGGAACGGACUGACUCUACACAGGACCUCCACUAGUACGACAUUACUGAAUUACAGGAAGAACAAACAAAAUCCUUGCGCAGAAGAAAAUUGGUCAAUAACCUAGAGAUCAACCAAAAGCACCAAGACUGUAAACAUUAGGAAUCAUAAACCAGUGGACAUUAUUUCCCUAUGCACUGAAAUCGGUCAUAACUUUACCAGCAGUAAAUAAAUAAGGGAAAUCAAGAGGAAGAUGAAAGGACAAGAAAGGAACGGAGAGUGAGAAGAAGAAGAAAGAAAGGAAAACCAUUAUAAACACACGUUCAUGCAAUCAUAUAGACAUACAUACAAACAUACAGGCAGGAAGGGGUGAAACAAGCCCAUGCCCUUUCAAGAUGGAGGUUGAGGGGCAAAGUUAUGACCGAGACCCACUAGGCUCACAUUAAGGCUUUAUAAUUAUCCGAAUAGGUUGACAGUCUACUAACUUCUUUUUUUUAUCCCUAAAAUGAUAAUAGACCAGAGACAGUGCUAAAAUUUUGCAGAAUAUGACUGUGUUUAAAUCUUUUUAUCGUAAAGAGUAAAAACAUACUUGUACCAUUUUAAAA
Molecule: long non-coding RNA, 711 nt
Organism: Hyla sarda
Lineage: Eukaryota; Metazoa; Chordata; Amphibia; Anura; Hylidae
Exons: 2
Source: RefSeq, a predicted model, not a curated record